UGUGCAGAAAAGGAGUUCUAAGGACUAGCGGAAAAAAAAAAGGUUCCAAGGUACUUUUCAUUGAAUUCAACAUUGUUAUAUUUGAACUGAUCCAAUUAAACCUAACAAAAUUAGUUCAAACUCUUAAGUUUAACAUGGCUAGAAUUCAUAGGUUGCUUGAACGUAACCCAAUUUGAUUUAUCAAAUGAGUGCAUUGGACUUGGUUUUAGUUUUCAAUCUAUUGAUAAUGCAAGUCAGAUCCAGGUCAAAUCAGACCUGGAUCAACACUAACCCACUUGAAG
This 281-nucleotide long non-coding RNA is filed under the name Elaeis guineensis (African oil palm). RNAcentral describes it as "long non-coding RNA (EGUI_LNC014004)". The record is from RNAcentral. Lineage: Eukaryota; Viridiplantae; Streptophyta; Magnoliopsida; Arecales; Arecaceae.